Molecule: non-coding RNA, 79 nt
Filed under: Intestinimonas massiliensis (ex Afouda et al. 2020)
Lineage: Bacteria; Bacillati; Bacillota; Clostridia; Eubacteriales
Description: Cyclic di-GMP-I riboswitch
Rfam family: c-di-GMP-I riboswitch aptamer
About the family: GEMM was predicted in a large-scale screen for bacterial structured RNA regulatory elements. Genes associated with GEMM are involved in a diverse array of functions, including chemotaxis regulation, signal transduction, secretion and chitin.
Source: RNAcentral
AGAGGCAAACCGGCCGAAAGGCCGGGACGCAAAGCCAGGAGGCUAAAGCGGCUGUGCCGCCAGGCUCGUCCGGCCGCCA